This is a non-coding RNA of Podarcis lilfordi (Lilford's wall lizard), 18102 nucleotides long. The record is from the annotation of a GenBank genome assembly. NCBI's taxonomy places the organism in Eukaryota, Metazoa, Chordata, Lepidosauria, Squamata, Lacertidae.
AAAAAGAGAACUAUUUAAAACAUUCCCCCCACCCCCCAUGCAUAUAAAGCUAGGAUUAAGGUAAUAAUAGCCUGAUGGUAACACAUGUGUAUGAUAUCUAGGCAGGUUUGCCUGAAAAAAGUGUAUUUUAGCAGGUGCCCAAAAGAGGGCAGCCUGAUGUCAAUAGGCAGGGAGUUCCAAAGUGCGUGUGCUGUUGGAUUUCUUACCAAGACGUGGAUGUUGUGUGGCACCCGUAACUGCCAUUUUCUACCAUAAAAAUAAUAGCCAUGAUUAAAGGCACGGCUGCUGGAUCAGACCAGGACAGGAGUGAGGCAAACACGAAGGAUAUAAAAUAAAAUAAUAGAGUGAGCAGAAGGAAAACCAGGCUGAUUCCCCCUAAUAGCUUGCAGAAAAAUCAAAUGAUUGAGCAAAGCAGGGAACCAAGAGCUUGCCCAAAGCGUAAAAAGGAAAAGAAGGAAGUUAAACCGGGCAAUCACUAAACAACAGGAAAUUCCUGAUAAAGUUCAUUUUAGAAGGGGAGCAACCGCAGCAGAAACCACAAGCUCUGUAGGAAAUGGGGUAUUUCCUACAGAUAGAUAUAUAUAUAUAUAUAUAUAUAGUAUUGCAUAUUUAUACACUUCAGAGAGAGAAGUAGAAAAUCUGAUUCAAGCAAAGAAUCAUGUCAGGGGAAUGAGCAAAAUGGAAAACAACCCAGAGGAAAAUGAAGCCCAUUUGUGAUGGAUUUUAAAAUUAAUUCCGGUGUCCUUUCAAAGCAGGGCUGCCUGAUCCUACUGAGCCCAGGGGCCACAUUCACCCAUGACUAAACCAUCCGGAGGCCACGUGGCAGAGUAUGGCCACCCAUUAAGUUGUCAAUGUAAUGAGCAGGGACGAAGGGAGGGAUUUGUAUUUCUGUCAUGGCGCUGGGCUGGGCAGGGAGGUUUAACCUUUUUUUGCACAUCCCACCACUGUGUCAAUAUGUUAUAUACUCUCUCUGUCACCACUAACAAAAUUGGGGGAUCUCAGAUGGGUAGGAAUUUGCUAAGGAACGGGUUCAAAUCAUGUCCCUGGCAUGGAGGUCCUCCAGCCAUUUUUCUUUUCUUUUCAGGGGCCUUUCCUGGAAUGGCAGAACUGCUAACACUUGAACGACGAACCCAUUUUAUAGCUUGCAAGACCAGCCACAUUUUACUGCCCCAACUGACUGCACUGCAUCCCAGCAGCCUUUGUGAGCCUACAGGUAAAAAAAAAAAAAAUUGGGGGUGGGACACACCUCCCACAUUAUUUUGCUGUCUUCCCGUUAAAAAGCAUGUUGCCCUGAGCAACGGGCAAUCCACUUUUAAUUGUUUGUUUUGUUUAUUUGUUUCAUUAAAAAAUUAUAGACUCCUUGGCUGCUAAGGAAAAAACUCAAAGUGGUUUACAAAAAGUUAAAACCUUGAAAGCCGAAUUUUAAAAUACACUGAAAGUCAAAAGAGAAUAGACUAGCCAGGCAUGUCCAAAGUCCGUUUCGGGGGCCUAAUCCAGCCCACUGGUCGGUUUAAUCUGGCCUCUGUGGCAGUUUAUUUCCUGGGGUAAAAUCCUAAAGAACCCUUAACAACUUCAAUCCUAAAAGAAGCUCAACAACUUUGGUCAGCCUUCACACAUGUUCACUUCAUCAAAUCUGGCCCUCUUUGAAAAAAGUUUGGGCACCCCAAUCUAUGGCCUUUAAAUUGUGAGUGUGGGAAGGGGGGCUAUUGAUUUUGAGGUAAAAUCCUAAAAAAAGUUCAACAACUUCAAAAGGUCAACAACUGUGGUUGGCCCCCAUGGCCCUUCACUUCAUCAAAUCCGGCCCUCUUUGAAAAAAGUUUGGACACCUCAAAGUAAAACUCAUGCAAGCUUUCUACACAACUGGGUAAAGCUAAAGGGACCCCUGACCAUUAGGUUCAGUCGUGGCCGACUCUGGGGUUGCGGCGCUCAUCUCGCUUUAUUGGCCGAGGGAGCCGGCAUACAGCUUCUGGGUCAUGUGGCUAGCAGGACUAAGCCGCUUCUGGCAAACCAGAGCAGCGCAUGGAAACACCGUUUACCUUCCCGCCAGAGUGGUACCUAUCUAUCUACUUGCACUUUGAGGUGCUUUUGAACUGCUAGGUUGGCAGGAGCAGGGACUGAACAAUGGGCACUCACCCCGUUGCGGGGAUUCGAACCGCCGACCUUCUGAUCGGCAAGCCCUAGGCUCUGUGGUUUAACCCACAGCGCCACCCACACAACUGGGUAGACUUGUCUAAAUUAAGAAUGUAUUCAGGCGUCGAAAAGAACAGUGAGGGUGCCUAUCUGAUAUCAAUAGGAAGGGAGUUCCAAAGUGUUGGUGCUGCUACACUAAAGUUCUUACAGAUGUGGUGGGGGCAUUAUGUGAAACUUGUAAAAGUGCCAAUUUUGCCCAGGCUUGCAUCAUGCAGAGGUCUCUUCGGUGCUGCUAGCACAGCAGUUUGACUUCACACCUGGAGGUGCUCUCCAUUGUCUCUUGAGACAGACAGAUGCCAACAACAACAACAACAAAACCUCUAAACUUUAUUAGCACGAUGCACAUGUUAAAAAACCAAUAAAAUACCUACCUGUGUGACUGCAAUGUAAAAGGCAUGACCACAAAUGUGAUGGGAAAGUAUGGGGAGGGAAGAGGAAGGUAGCAAAGUCAGGUACUGGUUCUUACAAGUUGCAAAGUUCUUAAUUUCCACAGGAGGAGCUGUGUGACUCUUUUCCAGCCAAAACAACAAACGGUUUUGCAGAAUCUUAAAAGACUGGUACACAUUUCUUAUGGCAUAAGGUGUUUUUUUUUUGGACCAGAGUCCACUUCAUCAGGUUCAUCCUGAGUCAUAGGUAUAUAAACCAUAUGGUUUUGCUGCAGGGUGGGGGUUGUAAAAAGUGAGGUCAGAGGAAAAAGAAAUGUGGGGAGACUGCAGGCAGUGAUAAUCUCAUACUUAGCAGUGGUAAUUCACAAAACAGUUCUUGAUCCUUGCACCGACAAGCCAAUUACCACAAAGAGUGUGCUAAAAAUCCUUUGACUUGGAUAGCCCUGAAACACUUCAUCUACCCAGCGCUUUCACAGAGCUUCAGUCUCCCUCUGAAGUUGUUUUGCUGCAGGACGGCUAUUUGACGGUCAUUUAUCCAGUGUCCUGGCAGGUUGAAAUGUUCCCCCAUUGGCUUUUGGAUGUCGUCAUUUCUGGUGGCGGAGUGUGUGUGUGUCUGCUUCUUAUUUUGUGUGGAGACUGGCCUGUUUCUGCUAUGCAGAAGGGCAUUGCUGAGGGAUGAUAGGAAUCACCCCGGAAAGAUGAGCAGGUGAAUUAAGCCCUCAUGCUGUGGAUGGCAUUCCUAGGGCCUCCGACAUGAAGAUGUGGAGAUGGCAUCUGGGCCUGAUUCAGGGGCUGCCCCCUGGAUCUGGAUCUCCCCUUGGGGAGGGGGCUGCCUGUGAGCCAAUACGGGCCUCCCACCCAAGGACCCAUUUGAAUGCAAUCAAUUCAGGAAGAGGUGGAGCCAAACCCUGAGAAGUGUAGUUUGUUAAGGAUGCUGGGAACUAUAGCUCUGUGUGGGGUAAACUACAUUUCCCAGGAUUCUUUGGGGGAAAGCCUUGCACUUCCAAUAGAACGAUAGAAUUGCAGGGUUAGAAGGGACCCAAGGGGUCAUCUGAUCCAAACCCCUGCAAUGCAGGAAUCAUAGCUAAAUCUUCUUCUUCUUUGGCGAUCACUUGUAGCCGAGUAAGAUUGUCUUCCAUGAACACGGUCAUAUCAGCAAGGCCGUAAGUGACUGUGGAGGCCAAUUCUAGAUCCACAGGUGUGGUGUGGAUGUGACCUUAGUGCCUCAGAUUAGCUUGGUUGUCCCAUAUCUCUCCCCAUCUCUGCUCCUGGCAGGUGGCUCUUUCCUCUAGCCUUUGAUAGUUGAUAUGUUCUGUUUUGCGGGACCCACCUUGUUCUUUGGAUUUAUGCUGUUCUGUUCCAUUCAGAGCGGGUUUGUUUGUUUUAUAAUUACAAUAGCUUUAUCUAUUUUUCAGUCUGUAUGCUGUAAUGUUGUUAACUGCUCUUACUGUGAAGGGUGGGUAAGAAAUGUUAUAAAUAAAUAAAUAACUUGUGAGUGCAUCUGCCAGGAAUUAAGCAUGCUCAGAUAUUGUUAAGCUGAUGAACUGUGCACCUUCCCUGGCUGAGCGGCUCUUAGGUCUGGGCUAUGAAGUUUUAUUACUAUAAAAAUAAGUGAACAACUGUGAGAGGUGAGAGAUUCUUUGAAUGCCAUCAGGGGGUGGUUACUUGUGUUUCCCCACCCUCAAUUCCCUAAGAGCCUUAAUAAGAGAGUUGCUUAAUGGAUAUUUGCAGCUUGACCUAUUGGUAAGCUGUAUGCAUAUUUAAUAUACAUAUUUAUAACAUACAUACUUACACAGGAAAAGCCAGCUGCACAAAGAUGGGGGACACCUGGCUUGCCAGUAGUCCAUGUGAAAAGGAUCUAGGGGUCAGUAGACCACAAGCUUAACAUGAGUCGACAGUGUGAUGCAGUGGGGGUAGCUAAUUCUAUUAGACUGAAUCAACAGAAGUCAAGUGUCCAGAUCAAGGGAAGGAAUAGUUCUGCUCUAUUCUGCCUUGGUCAGACCACACCUGGAGUCCUGUGUCCAGUUCUGGGCGCCACAAUUUAAGAAGGGUGUUGCUAAGUUGGAACGGGUGCAGAGGAGGGCGACCAAGGGUCUGGAAACCAAGCCUUAGGAGGAACAGUUGAAGGAGUUGGGGAUGUUUAGCCUGGAAAAGAGACUGAGAGGAGAUAUGAUAGCCAAAUAUCUCAAGAGCUGUCACAUGGAAGAUGGAGCAAGCUUGUUUUCUCCUACUCCAGAAGGGAGGACCCGAACCAAUGGCUUCGAGUUACAAAAAGGGAGAUUCUGACUAAACAUCAUGAAGAACUUUCUGACAGCAAGAGCUGUUCUGCGGUGGAAUGGACUCCCUCAGGAAGUUGAGGACUCUCCAACCUUGGAGAGCUUUAAAAGAGGAUUAGACAGAUUCAUGGAGGAGGAGAGAGCUAUUGAUGGCUGCUAGCUGCAAGAGCUAUUGCUCUGUCUGUAUAGUCAGAGGCAGGGAUGCUUCCAAGUACAGUACCAGUUGCUGGAAACCACAGGAGGGAAGAAAGUGCUCAUGUACUUGAAUCCUGCUUGCAGCUUUUGAACCACUGUGAGGAUAUCGGCCACUGACCAGCAGACUCUUCUCAUGUUCUUAAAUGAACCGUUAAUUGUUGGUUAUUAAUUUUCUUAGUGCUACAUUGCUGCGAUACCUGCUUUAUUGUGUUCUGACUACAGUAUUACUACUGUAGUUACUGUAGUUAGACUUGUGAUUUUUGUGUGAGCCACUUUGAGCACAUAUUUGCUUGUGGCCAAUGUGGUUUGUAAAUAACUAGACAAUGAUUUUUAAAGCCAGUCUUGUGAAUUUGGGAAAGGGGGUGUGCACUGGGGCGGGGACAUGGAAUGGGUUUGAAUUCAGAUUGCUAUUCUUUUUUCUGACCAGUGGGCAGCCCCGUGUUUGUAUGAGAAUGAGCUUGUGGGGUUUAUAUUUUGUUGUUGUUUCCUCCUUCAUUAAAAAUGCAGCUUGUUGUCAGGAGCCAGGCUGUUUGCAGCUUUCUCAUAACCAAAAGGAAGUAGGCGGCAGUGAGGAACUGUUUAGCUCUUCACACUUUGCUGCUGCGAAUAAAUUUCCCAGCCCCUAAACCUCCUGGAGGAAUUCACAGCAGUGGCGGCAGCAGCGAAGACACCUCCAGGCUGCCCAUGCAGAACCUGACACCACCUGGGCACAUGCUGGUCAUGUUUUACCCCAGACCUAUUUCCCCAGAAGUUGCUUCUCUUAAGUUUUCUUGUCCACUUUGUCGCUGUGGAAAUUUCAGCUUCACAGUCUUUCUGCAGAAAAGGCUUCAUAACUUUUAGUGCAGUCAGAAAUCGAGCCAUCGUGGGGGCAGGUGAGCAGAGUGUUUGCGAGGUGCAGAGUCAGGGUUCAGGUGACGCCAUUGGGCUACAACGAAUGGGGCAGGGGUAGUUCAACUGAAACAGCUUAAAAUAGCACAUAUUUCCCCAGCUUUCCAUUAAAAAUAAAAAGAGGCGGACCCCUAACAGAUAGUUCAGUCUAGUUCUGUAUCUGCCCCCCAGGUGUUUACCCCUGUGAGGAUUAAUGUGUAGCAACUCACAUUCAGAUCCAACAUGCCCUGGUGUCCCUGUUGGGCAGAGUAAGGUAGUUGCCCCAGGCAGAUGACUUUGGGUGUCAUGAAAGGGAAGCAGGCUGCCAGUUGUUUUAAUUCAUUGCUAGGAGUGCUUUUACUCCCAGGGAGAGAUGUUGGUGGGACUUUCAGCCUCAGGUGGACAAAGGUAGCCAGCCUUGGGAACUGCAUUCUGUGCCACCAUCAGUGCUUUUCUUAUAGGAAAAAAAGGUGCCAAUACAGUGGUACCUCGGGUUAAUUACUUAAUUCGUUCCGAAGGUCCAUUCUUAACCUGAAACUGUUCUUAACCUGAAGCACCACUUUAGCUAAUGGGGCCUCCCGCUGCUGCUGCUGCGCUGCCGGAGCACAAUUUCUGUUCUCAUCCUGAAGCAAAGUUCUUAACCGGAGACACUAUUUCUGGGUUAGUGGAGUCUGUAACCUGAAGCGUAUGUAACCUGAGGUACCACUGUACUCCCCGUGAAGUUGUUACAGUAACUGCCACACUUGUAACCAGAGUGUUUCUACUGGGGGGAAAAGGUGCCUGUACUGCGUCCCCUUGAGUGCCCCCAGAAAGACUGGAAAAGCACUUGCCGCCAUCCAGCCAGCACUGGCUCCUGAAGACACUGUUGGAUGAGGCAAGCAUGCCCCUGAAACUUGUGGCUUUAUUGCUUUUUAGAAGACCUGUUUUAAUUGCUAUGCUUUUUAGCUCUUUGCUUUAUUGUCUGUUUUAAUUAAGGCUGCUUGAAUGUUAAUGCGUGUUUUUAAUUAUGGUUGUAUGCCACUUAGAAGCUGUUCUGGCACACGAGCAGUACAGUGGUGCCUUGGUUCUCAAACAUCUUGGUACUCAAACAACUUGGAACCCAAACACUGCAAACCCAGAAGUAAGUUUUCUGAUUUGCGAACCUUUUUCGGAAGUUGAACAUGCUCUGUUUUGAGUGCUACACUUCCGAUUUAAGUGCCACACUUCCGUUUGGAGUGUUUCGCUGAGGUGAGGUCUGUCUGUUUUUGCUAUUUAUUUUGUGUUUUUGUGGCUCUUUUUUUUUUUUUUUGAGACUGUGUGGAACCCAGUUCAGCUACUGAUUGAUUGAUUGUGUGACUGCAGUACAUUGUUUCUUGCUUUAAUUUUAUGGAUCAAUGGUCUCGUUAGAUAGUAAAAUUCAUGUCAUGUUUUAGCGGUUGUUUUUAAAAGUCUGGAACGGAUUAAUCCAUUUUGCAUUACUUUCUAUGGGAAAGCACACCUUGGUUUUGGAACACUUUGCUUUUGGAACAGACUUCCAGAACGGAUUAAGUUUCAGAACCAAGGUACCACUUAUAUAAAUUAAUUAAUUAUAAAUGCACCAUGUCGUGGUAUGGUGGUGGCCAGGAUGUGGUGGUAGAGCAGGGAGAGACAGACACCAUUUGCUGUUCAGCCUCAGGAGCUGAAAUUUCUCAGGCAAGCCCUGUCAUUUCCCACGUCCCCUCCUCUUUUUCACUGUGCUGAUUUUUAACUGGCAAGCUUUUGAAAAUAUUUAAAAAUGAAUGAAUAAACAAACAAACAAACAACAACAACUCACCCCCAUGCUGCAUGCUUUGCAAAGACUAAACUCUUCCUGAUUUAUUAAUGCAGCACGUGCAGAUGAGGGUGGGUGGGCAGGCAGCGCCUCUGUGUAGCUGCUCUGGGGUGAGGCUGGGGGAAGCGGCUGCGUGUGUGGAUGUGACUCAGAGAGCUCCUUGAUGUGAGGCGUUGAUGUGCGGGCAUCAAGCACUCCUGUUGAGUGAAAUCUCCCACUCCCUUAUCUUCGCCUUUGCCUUCCCCGCCCUGCUUUUUGAUAUUCGUCAGGAGGCUGCCUGUGGAGGAAGGAGUCAUGCCAACCUCAGCGCCGCCACGCAGUGUUCUUGUGAUUAGAGGCAACAAAUUGUUCUGUGCAUGCUCCAUGUGAGAAAACACUCCUCAUAGUGAGCAACCUGCCUUGGCAGGUCGGAUGGCCAGCAGCUGACACAACCUCAGGUGUUCUGAGACUGGACCGUCUCUCCCUUGGGAUGGGGUGUGCUAGUCAUUUGGGUGGGAGGGGUUCCUGCAAGUAGUGGAGCCAGAAAGGUCCUUUGUUGUUUAGUCAUUUAGUCGUGUCCGACUCUUUGUGACCCCCUGGAUCAGAGCACGCCAGGCACUCCAGUCUUCCACUGCCUCCCGCAGUUUGGUCAAACUCAUGUUGGUAGCUUUGAGAACACUGUCCCACCAUCUCGUCCUCUGUCGUCCCCUUCUCCUUGGGCCCUCCAUCUUUCCCAACAUCAGGGUCUUUUCCAGGGAGUCUUCUCAUGAGGUGGCCAAAGUCUUGGAGCCUCGGCUUCAGGAUCUGUCCUUCCAGUGAGCACUCAGGGCUGAUUUCCUUCAGAACGGAGAGGUUUGAUCUUCUUGCAGUCCAUGGGACUCUCAAGAGUCUCCUCCAGCACCACAAUUCAAAAGCAUCCAUUCUUUGGCACACAGACUACUGUUGGAGGUAGUAAAUGCCUCCACAUUCCAGCUGCUGGGAGUCGCUAGUGGGGAGAUCACUGCUGUUAUCCUCAGUUCAUUCUUCCAACAGACACUGUGAGCAUAGGAUGCUGGACUAGAUGGGCCACCUUUGGCUCCAUCCAGCAGCCAGGCUCUUCUUGGUUUUAUGCUUACCAUCACAGCCUUCAGACCUGCUCUAACCGUGACACAUCAGUCAUAGCUGGGGGGGGGGGGCGGAAUGUGCCAAGCAGAACUGAUUCAUGGACGCAUGGUGCCUUUUGCAUUAGUUUAACUUUGUAAAUAAAGGGGCCAUGGUUCAGAGAUGACUGGUUUCCUGCAGUUGCUGAAAAGGUGUGUUGCUGUCAUUGACUGAGUACAGUGCUAGCAGCAAGCUCUAGAGCCAGAGGUUCCAGCAGAGUAAAGAGGGGGAUGACAGGGGGAAAGAGGAAUUAGGGUGAGAUCAUCUUCUGAGGCCCUCCUUCGUGUGCCUCCUCCUUGAGAGGUCCGGAGGGUGGCAAUACGAGAACGGGUCUUCUCUGCAACGACUCCCUAUCUGGAAUGCUCUCCCCAGGGAAGUUCACUUGGCGCUUUCAUUUUACACCUUUAGGCGCCAAGCAAAAACAUUCCUUUUUAACCAGGCCGUUGGCUGAUUUGAUUGACAUCCUAUGCCCUUUUAAAAUGUGGUGUUUUUUGGGGGGGCAUUAUUGGGUUGUUGUUUUUAUUUUGAUUAUAUAUUUUGUGAUUUUAUAUUUUGAUUUUGUUCUGUAAACCGCCCUGAGGCCUUUAGGUAUAGAGCAGUAUAUAAAUUCAAUCAAUCAAUCAAUAGGAAAAAUUGCUUGGAUGAAAUUCCCUGACCACGGAAUCAUAGAGUUGGAAGGGAAACACCCCCCUCCCCCAAGGCUCAACUAGUUCUACCUCUGCAGUGCCGGAAUCAUAGCUAAAGAAUCCCUGACAUUUGGCCAUCCAAGCUCUGUUUAAAAACCUCCACCAAAGGAGAGCCCAGAACCUUCCAAAGGAGUCCGUUCCACAGUCAACUAGCUUUUACCACCAGAAACUUCUCCCUGAUGUUCAGUCGGAAUCUCAUUUCUUGUCAUUUCAGUCUGUUGGUUCAGGUCCUACCCUCUGGAGCAGCAGAAAACAAGGUUGCUCCAUCUUCCAUGUGACAGGCCUUUGAAAACAUUUGAAUAUGGCUAUUCGAAUCCCCGUGACAGGGUGAGCUCCCGAUGCUCAGUCCCAGCUCCUGCCCACCUAGCAGUUCAAAAGCACCUCAAAGUGCAAGUAGAUAAAUAGGUACUGCUCCGGCGGGAAGGUAAGCGGUGGUUCCGUGCGCUGCUCUGGUUCGCCAGAAGCUGCUUAGUCAUGCUGGCCACAUGACCCGGAAGCUGUACGCCGUCUCCCUCGGCCAAUAAAGCGAGAUGAGCGCUGCAACCCCAGAGUCGGCCACGACUAAAUCUAAUGGCCAGGGGUCCCUUUACCUUUUUAUCAUAUCUGUCUGCUCUUCUCCAGGCUAAACAUACCCCAUAUCCAAGCUACGGAGGGAUAGGGAAUAUGUAUAUAGGACCAUCCAGCCACAGCUAAUGUUAGUAUGUUGCCUCACUGCCCCAGGCCUUGUAGAAAGCUGCAUACCUCUCUAUAUUCAUGACAUUUACAUACUGCCUCUUUUCAGCCAGUUCCCUCCAAUACAUUCUGCUGAGUGUGAAGAGUCUACACCUGGCUAUGGGUGGGUGGAGGUUUGUAAUUCUGGAAGGGAUCUCCCCCCAAGUUCAAAUAUUUGAGACACCCUUGCUGCAAAGAGUCUAGGUCCAGGCAAUGCCUAUCAUAAGCUGUCCUCAACAAAACGCUUCUUGUGUUUAGACCAAGCAGUGGCUCAUCUCUGUUUCGUACUUCAGUAUGCAUGACUGACCAAGACAUGCUCUGUCUAUGAAUCAUAGAAUCAUACAGUAAUGGAGUGGGAUUUUUUAAAGAGGCCGUCUAGUCUAGCCCCAUGCUCAGUACACCACCUGCAGCCACAGCAACUAUCCUUGACUGAUGGCUGUCCAACCAAUGCCUCCGACAAAGAAGAGCCCAACUUUCUGUUUCAUUGCUGAACAGUUCUGGCCAUUGUAGGUCAGUUAUUCCUAACAUUCGGCCAACGUUUGCUCCCUCGCAGUUCCCACCCUUAUGUUCUAGUCUGCUCUGUCUCCAUCUGACCCACCAGACUUUCAGUUAUUGUUGUUGUUUAGAUGUUUAGUCGUGUCUGCCUCUUUGUGACCCCCUGGACCAGAGCACGCCAGGCACUCCUGUCUUCCACUGCCUCCCGCAGUUUGGUCAAACUCAUGCUGGUCGCUUCGAGAACACUGUCCCACCAUCUCGUCCUCCGUCGUCCCCUUCUCCUUGUGCCCUCCAUCUUUCCCAGCAUCAGGGUCUUUUCCAGGGAGUCUUCUCUUCUCAUGAGGUGGCCAAAGUACUGGAGCCUCAGCUUCAGGAUCUGUCCUUCCAGUGAGCACUCAGGGCGGAUUUUCUUUGAUCUUCUUGCAGUCCAUGGGACUCUCAAGAGUCUCCUCCAGCACCAGAAUUCAAAAGCAUCCAUUCUUUGGCGAUCAGCCUUCUUUCAGUUAUUAGAAGACCACUAUCGUGUCCCCUCUUAAUGGUUUAAGGCUUAACCUCCUCUUCUCAACUCCCUAGGACUGUGGCACAACCCUCCAGGUGUGAUGUGACCAGCCUUGAAUAGGUUGGAACUAUUAACUAUUUAAGAAAGGACGAGGAAGAAAAAUGCUUCCUUCUCUCCCUGCGACUUCCCCCCCUCCCUUUCUGGUUCCUAGUGAGAUCUUAACACCAGCAGCAUUUCAUCCAGGGCUGUCUUUGUCUUCCUCCCCUCCUCCCCUUUCUCCCCCCACCUUCGAGGAAGAGCUUUCCACGUUCCAUGCUGAGCAGGCAAAUAUGAAAAUGAGCAGCCAGUUAUUAACAUUGUCAGGGGAUAGGAGAGAUCAGCAUCUCAUUCUGCUUGGCUGUGAAUCUAGGCAGACUAGACCCAGAAACCCUUUCCCAGGGCCUGGGUCUUAAGUCUUGGCGCAUGUGAAAUAAGACCAAGAGUGUCUCUGAGCUUGUUCUUAGCAUGUUUCCCACAUCACCAAGCAACCGCAGCCUGUCUCCUCACAUCUUGGAUUUAUUGGACAGGGUUUGCACAGCCAAACAGGGCAGAUUCCAGGACAGCUCAAAUGUCCCAGCAGCACCCCUCCACCCCCCUUUUUAGAAAUUAAACUCAUCAAGUACCUUGUUCUACCUGGAAGAGUAAAGGUGGUCUCUUGGCACUAGGAGAAAGGGGCUGUGGGCUCUUUUGGCGGCUUUCACAAGAUGAACUAAUGGUCAACAGAGUUUGAGUGAUGGCCACCAACAUGGAUUGCUUUAAAAGAGGAUUAGACAAAUUAAUGGAGGAGAAUAAGGCCAUCGAUGGCUACUAGCCACAGUGGCUAGGUCCUUGGAGGUAGUAUCGCCUCUGAAGGUCAGUUGCUGGCAGUCGCAAGAAGGGAGAGUGCUUUCAUACUCAGGUCCUGCUUACGGGCUUCCCUUUGGGGCACCUGGCUGACCACUGCGAGGAGAGUAGGCUGGACUAGAUGCCCCCCCCUUUGGCCAGACCAAGCAGGUCCAUUCUUAUGUCUGCAUGAGGGCGUAUCUAUACCUCAGACCUGAGCCAUGACUGUUAAAGAGGAACAAUCUUAUAGUCUACUUAGCGUUGAUACAACUAAUAUGAACCGGCAGCUUCCUAGUAUGAACCACACCUAACAAAAAUCAGGUUUGGGGGCUUUUACAGAGAGCUCGGAGGUUUAGGGUUAACUUCUAGAAAAGCAUGCCACAGGCUUGAUGUCCUUUCCCUUGCAAUUGCCUUGGUGUCCAACUACCAUCGACCAUAACAUCCUUCUGGACCGUGUUGAGGGGCUGGGAGCUGGGGGCACUGUCAUACAGUGGUUCCGCUCCUUCCUCCUGGGCCGUGUUCAGAAAGUGGUGGUGGGGGAUGAGUGUUCAGACCCCUGGGCUGUCACUUGUGAGGUGCCUCAGGGUUCUGUCCUCUCCCCCAUGCUUUUCAACAUUUACAUGCAGCCGCUGGGAGAGAUCAUCAGGAGGUUUGGGCUGGGUGUUCAUCAGUAUGCGGAUGAUACCCAGCUCUACCUCUCUUUCAAAUCAGAACCAGUGAAGGCGGUGAAGGUCCUGUGUGAGUGUCUGGAGGCGGUUGGAGGAUGGAUGGCGGCUAACAGAUUGAGGUUGAAUCCUGACAAGACAGAAGUACUGUUUUUGGGGACAGGAGGCGGGCAGGUGUGGAGGAUUCCCUGGUCCUGAAUGGGGUAACUGUGCCCCUGAAGGACCAGGUGCGCAGCCUGGGAGUCAUUUUGGACUCACAGCUGUCCAUGGAGGCACAGGUCAAAUCUGUGUCCAGGGCAGCUGUUUACCAGCUCCAUCUGGUACGUAGGCUGAGACCCUAUCUGCCUGCGGACUGUCUCGCCAGAGUGGUGCAUGCUCUGGUUAUCUCCCGCCUGGACUACUGCAAUGCACUCUACGUGGGGCUACCUUUGAAGGUGACUCGGAAACUACAACUAAUCCAGAAUGCGGCAGCUAGACUGGAGACUGGGGGCGGCCGCCGAGACCAUAUAACACCGGUCUUGAAAGACCUACAUUGGCUCCCAGUACGUUUCCGAGCACAAUUCAAAGUGUUGGUGCUUACCUUUCAAGCCCUAAACGGCCUCGGUCCAGUAUAUCUGAAGGAGCGUCUCCACCCCCAUCGUUCUGCCCGGACGCUGAGGUCCAACGCCGAGGGCCUUCUGGCGGUUCCCUCAUUGCGAGAAGCAAAGCUACAGGGAACCAGGCAGAGGGCCUUCUCGGUAGUGGCGCCCGCCCUGUGGAAUGCCCUUCCAGCAGAUGUCAAAGCGAUAAACAACUACCUGACAUUCAGAAGACAUCUUAAGGCAGGGAAAACAUCAGGGAAGUUUUUAAAGUGUGAUAUUUUACUGUAUUUUUGGUUUCUAUGAAAGCCGCCCAGAGUGGCUGGGGAGGCCCAGCCAGAUGGGCAGGGUAUAAAUAAUAAAUUAUUAUUAUUAUUAUUAUUAUUAUUAUUAUUAUUGAGAAAAUGCAGCCUGCCUCUUGCCAUUUCACAAAACUACCUUCACCAAACUGGGGCAUCAAAGAAGCAGACUAUAUUUCAAGAUUGGUUCUGGAGUUCAGAAAAUGGGGGAGCCUCCAAUUUGCUCACACCACCUUUUAAAGGGAGAUAACAGCCUGUCUUGGGUGGGGUUGACUCUGAAACAUAGAGUGGGGGGUGGAAUGUCAGGUUAAACUAGGGGUAGGCAAACUAAGGCCCGGAGGCCAGAUUCGGCCCAAUUGCCUUCUAAAUCCAGCCCAUGGACGGUCCGGGAAUCAGCGUGUUUUUACAUGAAUAGAAUGUGCCCUUUUAUUUAAAAUGCAUCUCUGGGUUAUUUGUGGGGCAUAGGAAUUCAUAUUCCUCCCCCCAAAAAAUAUAGUCCGCCCCCCCACGGUCUGAGGGACAGUGGACCGGCCCCCUGCUGAAAAAGUUUGCUGACCUCUGGGUUAAACCUUUCACCAACUUCUUUUGAAAAACCAAACAGCCCUGCUUAAAUCAGGAGAUAAAAUACGUUAGUUAACUUGCAUAAUUCGUUAUCACAAGAUGUGAAGAUGGCCACUAACCGUAGGCUGCUUUAGAAAAGGACUGUGUGAAAUGUUUGUAGAGGAGGAGAGGUCUGUCCAAAGGUUACUAACAGCCAUUGGACAGACCUCUCUAGCUAAACUGGUCUAGAGGCAAUCUCUACCUCUCCAUAUCAGGUAUAUGGAGAUGAAGAAAACUAUGUUCCCCCCUUUGGAGGCUAUAUAGGAAGAGGCAUAUUGGAACACACACACACUGUCCCUUGUGCCCUUGCCACGGGCCCCUAGUCGCUCCAAACCAGAGUAGAGAGGCGCGUUUUUCACACCUCCCUGGGCCUGGCCUUUGACGGGGGCCAACCUAACCAACCCCUAAGGUACUUCCCUGUAUAGAGGCAAAAAUCUGGCGGCUGGCUACUGUCUAGGCUACAUGAAACUUGGUUUGAUGCUGCACCGCCAAUUCCUACAAGAGGUAAAUAUUUGCAGGUGCCUCCUCUAAAAAACAGUGUUCUUGAAGCGACCAGCAUGAGUUUGACCAAACUGCAGGAGGCAGUGGAAGACAGGAGUGCCUGGCGUGCUCUGGUCCAGGGGGCCACGAAGAGUCGGACAUGACUAAACAACAACCUCUAAAAUAUCUAUUACAGUGGUACCUCAGGUUACAUACGCUUCGGGUUACAUACGUUUCAGGUUACAGACUCCGCUAACCCAGAAAUAGUGCUUCAGGUUAAGAACUUUGCUUCAGGAUGAGAACAGAAAUUGUGCUCCGGCGGCGCGGCGGCAGCAGGAGGUCCAUUAGUUAAAGUGGUGCUUCAGGUUAAGAACAGUUUCAGGUUAAGAACGGACCUCCGGAACGAAUUAAGUACUUAACCCGAGGUACCACUGUAAUAUUAUUUCCUCAGGUGCUUGCAAGCAGAGCCAUGAACUUAGCCAGGAUUUGGGGGGGGGGGGCAGGCCUUUUUUGGAAGGCAGAACUGACAUGAUCGGUCAGUUGGUUAAGCAUUUCUAUUGUUUUACUUGAUCUGGGGGGCAGGUGCCCCCCCCCGGCUAUGCCCGUGGCUAUUCCUGUCCAUGGCAGUUGUGCUUCAACAGAAGCAUGUCCUUUAAGGUGGCUGAGAGGAUGAAUCCAUAUGAACCGUCAGGAAGCUGGCACCAAUCUUUCUACAGCACUUUUCCAUGGAAGUUCGCUGGGUCUUGUGUAGCCCCGUCCAAAGCAGAAACACAAAUCCAUUUCAAUCAAUGCAGUUUUGCAAUGAAGCCCGGGGGUUCCUGUGCAUUGCUGAAAUCUUUACCAUAACAGAAGAUGUCAAUAAAAAUCGGGACAGGGGUGCACAGAUUGGCAAAUUCUUUGCUGCAAAACACUGAAUUGGUAGCAGAUAAUUUCCUGUAAAUAUAUAUUUUUUUAAAAGGAAAGCCCAGCAUUGAGUGCAAGAAACUAGUCCUCAGAAGAGCAACCCAGCGUGACAGUUUUAUUUUCUUUCCAUCAUUUUUUAAAUAUAUAAAUACCCUCCCAUGAAUCCCCAGCAUAAAUAUUUUUGCAAAGCAGUUUCAUCAUCUUGCUACGCUAGACAAUCUUGUGAAAUAUUUAAAUCGGGAGGGUUAAGAACAUAAAACCCAGGACUCCCAACUGGGUUCCCUCCCCCCAGCCCUACAGUGGUGCCGUAUACUUCCCUUCUCCCCCCUCCCCAGUUUGUAACCCUAGUUUCUAAUUCAUGCCAGCGCCUCAACCGGUCCAGCCGUGUCUUGCGGACGCUAACAGGAAAUUGUGGCUAAUGGAUUUACACUUAGUUGGAAGAAGACGUGAGAGAAAGGAUGAGUUCAGUGGUGCUGAGAUGGAUAUGAAGAAGACUUGCACCCCCUCCCAUAACCCAACUAGGUUGGCAAAGAUGAGAUUUUAAACACACCAACUAAAAAUGCUUGUAUAGACAUUGUUUCAGUUCAACCUACAGACCUCUCCAGCUGCGGUUUCCCAUCAAAGCACUGACUGCAGAAAGAGAAGUCAUAAUCAGUGAGGAUAUGUUUUGAUGCCAGGCAAAUGGAAGGAUAUGGAAGGGGACACUUAUGGGACUGGGAGUAAGAGAUGGCGUUUGCGGAGAGGAUGAGGCAGGCGGGUUAGUGGGCAGGGGGAACGUGGACCACUAAAAGGAUGAGCAUGAUAUUGCUUUGACAAAAUCCCACACUGGCCUAGGCUGCUUCCAGACAAUGCAUUUAUUGAGCAUUCAUUCACACCAAUUUGCUUGCAGGGCAGUUAGGCAGCGCUGCAUUGAAGCAAGGGCUCCCCUCCCCCCCCAUGAUUUCCUUAUCGCAAGAGGACGGAAAGCGCCCUUCGCGACAGUCUGGAAGCGCUCUUCAUGAUCUACAUCCGUGUGAGUUUAAAACGGUUACCAAGUGAAUUGGGGGUUGGGGAUGGGGGGACAGGCUGGGCAACACUGGCUGGUCUUCUGGGGCACCCCCCACAAUGAGCUCUGUUGACUAGCUCUACGAAGGGGGAAAGUGGGCAAUGUCUAAAUAACUUUAUCCCUGCCCUCCCCCCAACAUGAGGUGUUCAAUGCAUGUCACACUUAGCCCCAACAUGAGGUGUUCAAUGCAUGUCACACUUAGCGUAUUAUGAUGUCUGGCACUAGUUUACGUCACGUUCUUUACCCUGUGUUUAACCUGCUAUGAAUAAAGCCCACAGAGUUCUUGAGUCCUCCAGUGCCCAGAGAGGGCCAGAAUCUUCUUGCCACAGCAAGGAGCUAAUGUUGAGCUGAGGAUGGAGAUUCACCCCUCUUAAAAAACGUCAAGAGAGGACGAAAGGCAUCAAGGCAGUUCCGCCCACCUGUGUUUUUCUCAUCAGCACUCUUUGAAUUGUGGCAGAAUCGUAGUACAGUCAUUUGAACCUAAGCCAAGUCCUAAGGAUAUGCCGUUUCCAUUGUGGAAUCUUCUCCAGGCUCUCUCAGACUUUCCACUUUGCUUUUAUUGGCAGGAAAAAUUAACCAGCCUAAAGGAAUUCUUUAAGCAGACUUUAACUGAGUAGAAUCAGUGGGAGAUGAGAGGUUGGGCAAGGUCCAUUUUCACGUCUUGAGUCUCUAAAAUCAACCCAACCUGCUGGAUCUGGAAAGUAUCGGAAAUGAAAAAGGUGGGGAUAGGAGUACACUAUCGCAGGUCACAUCUGUAACUAUUAAACGUUUUUGCUACUUGAGAAAACAUUAGAUUUGGGGUUUUUUGGGUGGGGUAUGGGGAGAUCUGAAGAAGUGCAUUUUCCGCCAAAAGUCUGUUCCCUUUUCUCAGAUCUAAUGGAUUAGAAAGCUGUGUUUUUAUAAUUCCACUGCCAGGCUGGAAGUGGCUUGAUUUUGCUUAUUUUAUUUCAUUAUCGUAAGCGAAUGGGGGGGGGGUCAUACCUUUUUUUUAAAAAAAAGAGAGCUGAGAACUGACAACAGACAAGAGUCUCCAUGUGUGUAGAGAGACAAGGCUCAGCUCUGUGAUUUAUUUAGCUUUGCUAUGAAAUUUUUUUUAACCUAUCCCUGGCCUAAAUAAUUGUGUAAAAAUACCAGGUAAAAUAUUACAGGCUUGUCAAAGGUCAUGACAACCCAAAGCAUCAGGGUGGAACAAGAUGGCACCUUCGCUCCUUUCUCUCUCCUUUCUCUCUCUCUCAUUCUCAUUUCAGGGGGUUGGACUAGAUGACCCUUGGGGUCCCUUCCAACUCUACCAUUCCACAAUUCUCUCUCUCUCUUUCUCUCCAGAAACUGGCUAACCAAAAAAACCUCAGCACAACAGGUUUGGGAGCUCAGCCACUCUCUCCCCUCCCUCUUUCCUCCCAAAUUGUUCAGGAAAAGCAGGAGAAAUUUCAGGCACCUCUAGUCAGCCCCCACCCCACC